UCAUAUUUUCAUAUCAUAAUGCUUUGCCUCUUAGUACAAAUCUUAUUCAUCAAAAGGUCUUCAUGUACGACAAGGAGAUAAUGAAUCCAAUACAUGUAUUUCCUUCACUUGUUCGACGAGUAAGGUUGCAUGCAGUAGCAAGAUUCAAAGAUGAGGAGAAAGAAAGGUAGUUUUCAUUGUGAAUCUCUCGUUUUAUGCAAUGGCAUUCGGUUUGCAAAGGCGAGCGAUCUUCAUGGUGGUGUUGCAGAAUGUGACAAGUACAAUGUCUUUUCAGACUUAUUUUCGAAUGC
This 290-nucleotide long non-coding RNA is filed under the name Olea europaea (common olive). RNAcentral's name for it is "long non-coding RNA (OEUR_LNC004974)". The record is from RNAcentral. Lineage: Eukaryota; Viridiplantae; Streptophyta; Magnoliopsida; Lamiales; Oleaceae.